Melospiza georgiana is the source of this 1277-nucleotide RNA transcript. It is a transcript of the gene named solute carrier family 25 member 34, with no coding region annotated. The record is from RefSeq and is a predicted model, not a curated record. NCBI's taxonomy places the organism in Eukaryota, Metazoa, Chordata, Aves, Passeriformes, Passerellidae. The transcript has 6 exons.
UUGCCCCACAUCCCUUCCCCAAAUUGGGGGCUGGAUUAGGGGGGGGGGGGGGGUUGCUUUGCAGGAGGCGGCGCUCGCUCGCUCUCGCUCCCCUCGGGUUUUUUUUCCCUGCGGUUGCUCGGGGAGGUGGAGCCUGGGGCCACCCCCGCGGGCAGGUGCCGGAUGGCGGCGGGGACCCUCGCCCCCCGCCCUCCCGAUUCCCUGCAGGAAUUCCAGUAUCCCCCCCAAAACAGCCCCCCCUCCACCGGGGGGGUGCCCCCGGCCACCGACCUGGUGCUGGGGGCCACGGCCGGCUGCCUGGCCUGCUUCCUCACCAACCCGCUGGAGGUGGUGAAGACGCGGCUGCAGCUGCAGGGCGAGCUGCAGCCCCCGGGCACGUACCCGCGGCCGUACCGCGGCGUGCUGCGGGCGGCCGUGGCCGUGUGCCGGGCGGACGGGCUGCGGGGGCUGCAGAAGGGGCUGGCGGCCGGGCUGCUCUACCAGGGGCUCAUGAACGGCGUCCGCUUCUACUGCUACUCGCACGCCGAGGACGCCGGCUGGACCGGGUAUCCCGGCGGGACCGUGGCCGCCGGGGCCGUGGCCGGGGCGGUGGGAGCCAUCGUGGGCAGCCCCGCGUACCUGGUCAAGACCCACCUCCAAGCCCAGACACUGUCGGCCAUGGCCGUGGGCCACCAGCACAACCAUGAGAGCAUCUCCGGCGCUUUCAAGAGCAUCUACCAGCAGCACGGGGUGGUGGGGCUGUGGCGGGGGGUGACGGGCGCCGUGCCGCGCGUGGCCGUGGGCUCGGCCGUGCAGCUCGCCACCUUCGCCUCGGCCAAGGACUGGGUCUGCGAGCGCCAGUGGUUCAGGAAGGGCAGCUGGGCGGCGGUGCUGGCGGGGGGCAUGGUGAGUGGUGUGGCUGUGGCUGUGACAAUGACACCUUUUGACACGAUCAGCACGCGUCUCUACAACCAGCCCGUGGACGCCGACGGCACGGGCAAGCUCUACCGAGGGUUUUUGGAUUGUAUCCUGCAAAUCUCCAGCAAAGAGGGGCUGCUAGGCUUGUACAAGGGCCUCGGCGCCGUCUACCUCCGCCUCGGCCCCCACACCGUGCUCAGCCUCUUCUUUUGGGACAAGCUCAGGAACAUGGUUCAGCACUAGCAGCCCCCAGGGCUGUAGGACAGACUCCUGCCACCACCACCGAUGUUAAUAAAGAGCUGGAGCUCCGGCCGGACGAGAUGAGCUCCAGCUGCCCUGGCUUGCCCCAGUAAUGAUUUACCAGCCGGGGGGAGCCACUC